GUGUCCUUGGGGAUGAAUAUUCUCCCAACAGAGAGGACACCUUGACUGAGAAGCCUGGUAAACCUGCAGGAAACCCCAGCCCAUGGUAGGGGGUGAGUAUCUUGAUGCUGUGCCUCAUCGAAGAGAACCAUGCACACAGGGUCUUGGAUUAUGAGGAAAGUUGGCCAAGCCUUGUCAAGGACGGUUGAGGCACAGUGGGGUCAGCAGGAGCCCUGGGGCAAUGACAGGAGGUGGCUCACCCCACCACUUGUCUCCCCAGACCACCCCUUCUGCGCCCUCAUCCUCAUCUGCUUGGCGGGCCUCCUGGUGCUCAUCACAGGCCUGAUCUGCUGUCUCCUGCCAAAAGAAUGCAAUGGUGUCAAGAUUCCUGUUGAUGCCAGUAAACCUAAUCCAAAUGACGUGGAGUUUGGUAAUCUGUAUUUGGAUAUGAAUGGAAUCAUCCAUCCCCGUACUCAUCCUGAAGACAAACCAGCACCAAAAAACGAAGAUAAAAUGAUGGUUGCAAUUUUUGAAUACAUUGACAGACUUCAAUAUAGUAAGACCAAGACGACUUCUCUACAUGGCAAUAGAUGGAGUGGCACCACGUGCUAAAAUGAACCAGCAGCGUUCGAGGAGGUUCAGAGCAUCAAAGGAAGGAAUGGAAGCAGCAGUAGAGAAGCAGCGAGUCAGGGAAGAAAUACUGGCAAAAGGUGGCUUUCUUCCUCCAGAAGAAAUAAAAGAAAGAUUUGACAGCAACUGUAUUACACCAGUAAGUAGUCUCAGACUUUGCUGGCUAUUGCUAACUCUUAAAUG
Diceros bicornis minor is the source of this 792-nucleotide long non-coding RNA. RefSeq lists it as uncharacterized. Lineage: Eukaryota; Metazoa; Chordata; Mammalia; Perissodactyla; Rhinocerotidae. The record is from RefSeq and is a predicted model, not a curated record. The transcript is spliced from 6 exons.